Non-coding RNA from Camellia sinensis, 1573 nucleotides. NCBI's taxonomy places the organism in Eukaryota, Viridiplantae, Streptophyta, Magnoliopsida, Ericales, Theaceae. The record is from RefSeq and is a predicted model, not a curated record.
UAGUGUUCAUAUAGUUAUAAUAAGCAAUCCUCUGGUUAUGUAUCAACUGUUAAUAAUUGUAGAUCUUAUGAAUGUGUCUGUGUUUGUCUGAUAGAUGUGUCUGUGUAAAAGAGAUCUAAAUCUUGGGUAAAAUUCAAAUGCCGUGUUAUGUUUCUCGUUUAUCUCUUUUUUAAAUGUCAAGAAUUCAUUUUUUUAUUCUUCUUCUAAAUACAGGAACAUGAGUUGAUUUUGGGCUUCAAAAACAAAACUUGCUAAUGAAUUUCCUCAUCUAAUCAUUUCAGUCUUUAUCUGUAAAACAAGUUCUUGUGAUGCUUAUAGUGGUUAAUUUUGAAAACUUUCAAGCACUUUUGUGGGUCAAAAACACAGAUUUUAGUUUUCUUUAGUGUUCAUAGAGUUAAUAUGCAAUCCUCUGGAUGUGUAAGAAUUAUAAUUCUUAUGAAUGUGUCUGUGUAAGAGAGAUUUAAAUCUUGGAUUAAAUUCAAAUGCUGUUAUGCUUCUUGUCUGUUUUUAUUUUUUUUAUUUUUAAGUGUCAAAAAUUCAAUUUAGCAAAUUCACUUCACUUUGAUUGCUCAAGUAUUGUCCUUGUACUAGUGUUUUAAUCUAUUUGUAACUUUGCUCAUUACCUAGACAAAGGAGAUACUAUAUAUCACCAAUUAUGCAUACUUUAUUUAAGUGCUAAUACAAUACAGCGGUAUGUGAGACCAUUCAAUCACUAGUUUGAUUAUUAUUGUUUUAUAUGGUAUCAGAGUUUACAAUGGCUACUGCCUCCUUUGUUUCACGCAAUCUGUUUUUUUCAGUUCUACCUCCACGAACCUACUGUUUCUUUUCCUCUCUCAAGUUCUGUUUUUUUUUCUUUGUUUUUUCACUAUAAAUUUUAAAACAGCUAUAGCAGAUUAUUUAGUUGCCUAUUAGACAAUUAUUCCAAGUCACUCAUAGGGCCUUCUCUGUCAUAGAACCUUUGAAGUGGUCUGAAAGUUAUCACUUUUUGUAACUUACCCUGCUCAAGGUUUAUAAAAAAGACCCAAAAGUGUGUCUUUACAUUGUAGAUGCACUUAAAAUGUUUCAAAAAUCUUGAAGGCUAGUUUGUGGAUAGGACCUCCACUUAUUAACAUGUGCAAUUCAUCUUUUAUUAACAUAUGGAUAUAAAUAUAUACAAGUCUCUAGAUCUAGUUGCUUUUGUAUGUAUAGCCUGUCAAUCUCUUUGUGCAGCAUUGGCGAGAUAACUGAUUUGAGAUGUCUCUUUGGUUAUCUGCUUUGCUCUUAGCCAAUUCUUGUCGACGUUGAGUUGAGUCAAAACAAUCUGGAAAUCAUUUCCUCAGGGAUAUGCAUAUGUUCAUGCAGUAAUGGUAUGAGAAGUUUCCAGAUCUCAAAUUCAGAGAUUUGUUUCUUACAUGAGAAAGCUGUGCAGGUUGGUUGGUGCUGUGACAGUGCAUUGAGGAAGUGGCUUUUUGAAUUUAUAGUUCUAUUAUGUUUGGUAAGUAUGAUUUCUUUUAUGUUUGCAGUUUGCAGUUUUUUUUAAUAUGCUGGUGGAUUUGGUUGCAGGGACUAAUCGGCGUCGGGGUCAUGUGACACU